CAGCCGCCACGGUAAUACGAAGGGUGCAAGCGUUAAUCGGAAUUACUGGGCGUAAAGCGCACGUAGGCGGCUUGGUAAGUUAGAGGUGAAAGCCUGGAGCUCAACUCCAGAAUUGCCUUUAAGACUGCCGAGCUAGCAGGUGAGAGAGGUAAGUGGAAUUCCGAGUGUAGAGGUGAAAUUCGUAGAUAUUCGGAAGAACACCAGUGGCGAAGGCGGCUUACUGGCUCAUCCUAGACGCUGAGGUGCGAAAGCGUGGGGAGCAAACAGGAUUAGAUACCCCAGUAGUCCCUGUCUCUUACAC
Molecule: ribosomal RNA, 301 nt
Filed under: uncultured bacterium
Lineage: Bacteria
Description: partial 16S ribosomal RNA
Rfam family: Bacterial small subunit ribosomal RNA
Source: RNAcentral